UACAGAGGGGGCAAGCGUUGUUCGGAAUUACUGGGCGUAAAGGGCGCGUAGGCGGCCUUCUAAGUCGAACGUGAAAUCCCCGGGCUCAACCCGGGAACUGCGUCCGAUACUGGAAGGCUUGAAUCCGGGAGAGGGAUGUGGAAUUCCAGGUGUAGCGGUGAAAUGCGUAGAUAUCUGGAGGAAUACCGGUGGCGAAGGCGGCAUCCUGGACCGAGAUUGACACUGAUGAGCGAAAGCUAGGGGAGCAAACGGG
RNAcentral lists this ribosomal RNA (253 nucleotides) under uncultured bacterium. RNAcentral's name for it is "partial 16S ribosomal RNA". It matches the Rfam family "Bacterial small subunit ribosomal RNA", at positions 524 to 776 of the family's 1533-position model. The record is from RNAcentral.